GACGAACGCUGGCGGCGUGCCUAAUACAUGCAAGUUGAGCGCUGAAGGUUGGUACUUGUACCAACUGGAUGAGCAGCGAACGGGUGAGUAACGCGUGGGGAAUCUGCCUUUGAGCGGGGGACAAAAUUUGGAAACGAAUGCUAAUACCGCAUAAAAACUUUAAACACAAGUUUUAAGUUUGAAAGAUGCAAUUGCAUCACUCAAAGAUGAUCCCGCGUUGUAUUAGCUAGUUGGUGAGGUAAAGGCUCACCAAGGCGAUGAUACAUAGCCGACCUGAGAGGGUGAUCGGCCACCUUGGGACUGAGACACGGCCCAAACUCCUACGGGAGGCAGCAGUAGGGAAUCUUCGGCAAUGGGCGAAAGUCUGACCGAGCAACGCCGCGUGAGUGAAGAAGGUUUUCGGAUCGUAAAACUCUGUUGGUAGAGAAGAACGUUGGUGAGAGUGGAAAGCUCAUCAAGUGACGGUAACUACCCAGAAAGCGACGGCUAACUACGUG
RNAcentral lists this ribosomal RNA (497 nucleotides) under uncultured bacterium. RNAcentral describes it as "partial 16S ribosomal RNA". It matches the Rfam family "Bacterial small subunit ribosomal RNA", at positions 28 to 507 of the family's 1533-position model. The record is from RNAcentral.